RNAcentral lists this ribosomal RNA (425 nucleotides) under uncultured bacterium. RNAcentral describes it as "bacterial SSU rRNA". It matches the Rfam family "Bacterial small subunit ribosomal RNA", at positions 355 to 796 of the family's 1533-position model. The record is from RNAcentral.
UAGGGAAUUUUCCACAAUGGGGGCAACCCUGAUGGAGCAACGCCGCGUGCAGGAUGAAUGCCUUCGGGUUGUAAACUGCUUUUAUGUGUGAAGAUUAUGACGGUAGCACAUGAAUAAGGAUCGGCUAACUCCGUGCCAGCAGCCGCGGUCAUACGGAGGAUCCAAGCGUUAUCCGGAAUUACUGGGCGUAAAGAGUUGCGUAGGUGGCAUCGUAAGUCUGUAGUGAAAGCGUGGGGCUCAACCCCAUACACAUUAUGGAAACUGCGAAGCUAGAGGACGAGAGAGGCAUCUGGAAUUCCUAGUGUAGGAGUGAAAUCCGUAGAUAUUAGGAGGAACACCGAUGGCGUAGGCAGGGUGCUGGCUCGUUCCUGACACUGAGGCACGAAAGCGUGGGGAGCAAACGGGAUUAGAUACCCCCGUAGUCC